RNAcentral lists this ribosomal RNA (1522 nucleotides) under uncultured bacterium. RNAcentral's name for it is "16S ribosomal RNA". It matches the Rfam family "Bacterial small subunit ribosomal RNA". The record is from RNAcentral.
AGAGUUUGAUCCUGGCUCAGAAUCAACGCUGGCGGCGUGCCUCAGACAUGCAAGUCGAACGCGAAAGCCCCCUUCGGGGGGCAAGUAGAGUGGCGCACGGGUGAGUAACACGUAGGUAAUCUACCUUUGGAUGGGGAAUAACAACCGGAAACGGUUGCUAAUACCGCAUAAUGCAGCGGCACCUAACGGUGACAGUUGUUAAAGCGGGGGAUCGCAAGACCUCGCGUCUGAAGAGGAGCCUGCGGCGGAUUAGCUAGUUGGUAAGGUAACGGCUUACCAAGGCGAUGAUCCGUAGCCGGCCUGAGAGGGCGGUCGGCCACACUGACACUGACAUACGGGUCAGACUCCUACGGGAGGCAGCAGUCGGGAAUUUUGGGCAAUGGGCGAAAGCCUGACCCAGCAACGCCGCGUGAAGGAUGAAAUCCUUCGGGAUGUAAACUUCGCAAGAACAGGAAGAAUAAGUAAGGGUUAAUAUCUCUUACGAUGACGGUACUGUUUGUAAGCUCCGGCUAACUCCGUGCCAGCAGCCGCGGUAAUACGGGGGGAGCAAGCGUUGUUCGGAUUUACUGGGCGUAAAGGGCGCGUAGGCGGCCACCGCAAGUCGACUGUGAAAUCUCCGGGCUUAACCCGGAAAGGUCAGCCGAUACUGCGGGGCUAGAGUGCAGAAGGGGCAACUGGAAUUCUCGGUGUAGCGGUGAAAUGCGUAGAUAUCAAGAGGAACACCUGAGGUGAAGACGGGUUGCUGGGCUGACACUGACGCUGAGGCGCGAAAGCCAGGGGAGCAAACGGGAUUAGAUACCCCGGUAGUCCUGGCCCUAAACGAUGAAUACUUGGUGUCUGGAGUCAUUAAUGCUCCGGGUGCCGUCGCUAACGUUUUUAGUAUUCCGCCUGGGGAGUACGCUCGCAAGAGUGAAACUCAAAGGAAUUGACGGGGACCCGCACAAGCGGUGGAGCAUGUGGUUCAAUUCGACGCAACGCGAAAAACCUUACCUGGGUUUGACAUGUCGGUGGUAGGAAACCGAAAGGGGCCCGACCCCGCAAGGGGAGCCGACACAGGUGCUGCAUGGCUGUCGUCAGCUCGUGUCGUGAGAUGUUGGGUUAAGUCCCGCAACGAGCGCAACCCUCGCCCCUAGUUGCCAACGGGUCAUGCCGGGAACUCUAGGGGGACUGCCCCGGUUAACGGGGAGGAAGGUGGGGAUGACGUCAAGUCAUCAUGGCCUUUAUGUCCAGGGCUACACACGUGCUACAAUGGCCGGUACAAAGGGUCGCAAACGCGCGAGCGGAAGCUAAUCCCAAAAAGCCGGUCCCAGUUGGGAUCGCAGUCUGCAACUCGACUGCGUGAGCGCGGAAUCGCUAGUAAUCGCGAAUCAGCAGGUCGCGGUGAAUACGUUCCCGGGUCCUGUACACACCGCCCGUCACACCACGAAAGCCGAUUGUACUUGAAGUCGCUGGGCUAACCCGCAAGGGAGGCAGGUGCCGAAGGUAUGGUUGGUGAUUGGGGUGAAGUCGUAACAAGGUAACC